AUUGAACGCUGGCGGCAGGCCUAACACAUGCAAGUCGAGCGAGUGGCGGACGGGUUAGUAAUGUAUCUGCAUGUGCCCGGUAGAGGGGGAUAACUACUGGACACUGUGGCUAAUACCGCAUACUAUCGGAUAGGCCGAUAUGGGAUUAGCUAGUUGGUGGGGUAAAGGCUCACCAAGGCCACGAUCCGUAGCUGGUUUGAGAGGAUGAACAGCCACACUGGGACUGAGACACGGCCCAGACUCCUACGGGAGGCAGCAGUGGGGAAUAUUGGACAAUGGGCGAAAGCCUGAUCCAGCCAUGCCGCGUGUAUGAAGAAGGCCUUCGGGUUGUAAAGUACUUUUAGUGGGGAGGCGGUACCUGCAGAAUAAGCACCGGCUAACUACGUGCCAGCAGCCGCGGUAAUAC
Molecule: ribosomal RNA, 406 nt
Filed under: uncultured bacterium
Lineage: Bacteria
Description: partial 16S ribosomal RNA
Rfam family: Bacterial small subunit ribosomal RNA
Source: RNAcentral